UUCAUUGUAUUUAGACACCCCUUAUCCUCUUCCCACGAGUGGGGAUAGGAAUCUAAGGCCCCUAAUUAGUUUUCGGGGACCCCCCAUGUUACCAUUUUAAUUAUCUCUGUCCUCUGCUUCUCUUUCUUCCUCCCUUAACACAUUCAACGACAGUAUGAUCUUCAAAACAAAAGUCACCGCUAAACUCAUAUACGAAAGAUGUGAAAAGAACCUGUAGUAAAAUACUAACUACUAAGAUGGAUACUUACGGAUAGAAUUAUAGGAAAGGAUCUGAGAAGAAUCAAAAGAUAGAAUCCUGGAUUUUUUUUUUGAUUAAAUUAAGGUGGUAAAUCAAUGGAUAAUACAAAGGAGGGCGAAUUUGAUGAUAUCGAAAAUUGCAAGUCAAUGGGUUGAACUAUAAAAGCUUCAAGUUGAUUAAAUUCAUAAAAUGAGCGGAUAGAUUUUUUUAUAGUUUAAAAUUUUUGAAGAAAAGUCAUAUCAAUACUGGGUGGAGAUUUUGAUAAACUUGGGACAUGUAAUUUGAUUCCCUGUAUUUGAAGAAAACUCUCCAUGGGAUAUUUCCAGGUAAUUCAGUAUAUAUAUAUAUAUUUUUGUCAAUAGCAGUGUCACAAAAAUACAAAGUGACAUCUGGUGAUGGUUUUGUAACAGAAAACCAUUGAAUACACUGAUGGUAGUGCACAACAAUUAGCCGGCAAGGUGCAAACUGAAAACAGUGCCGACCAAUGUUAGGUCGGCAUGGUAGAAACUUCAAAAGCCACCGAUCAAUAAAAAGCCGGUAAAGUAGUUAGUUCAAUAUUGUGCCGACCCUGUAAAUGUUACGUCGACACAAUAUUUAACUUAGGAAGCCAACGAC
Papaver somniferum (opium poppy) is the source of this 853-nucleotide long non-coding RNA. RefSeq lists it as uncharacterized. The transcript has 2 exons. NCBI's taxonomy places the organism in Eukaryota, Viridiplantae, Streptophyta, Magnoliopsida, Ranunculales, Papaveraceae. The record is from RefSeq and is a predicted model, not a curated record.